RNAcentral lists this long non-coding RNA (2902 nucleotides) under Capsicum annuum. RNAcentral describes it as "long non-coding RNA (CANN_LNC001028)". Lineage: Eukaryota; Viridiplantae; Streptophyta; Magnoliopsida; Solanales; Solanaceae. The record is from RNAcentral.
UGAUUGGUUGAAGGAAUUUGAAUACCUUAAAGGGAAAUUAAUUGAUGUCUCUAUUAUUGUCACUCCAGAUUGGUCAAAGUCAUUUGAGAUUAUGUGCGAUGCAAGAGGAGUGGCACUUGGGUCUAUGAUUGGCCAAAAGAGAGAUAAGCUGUUUCAACCCAUUUAUUAUGCAAGAAAGGCCUUAAAUGGAGCUCAGAAGAACUACACUGUUACUGAACAGGAACUUCUUGCAGUUGUCUAUGCCUUUGAGAAGUUCUGGGCUUACCUAUUGGGAACCAAGGUGGUGGUUCAUACAGACCACGCCGCUUUGAGAUAUUUAAUGGAAAAGAAGGACGCUAAGCUAAGGUUAAUCAGAUGGGUACUGCUCCUUCAAGAAUUUGACUUUAAAGUCAAAGAUCAGAAGGAAUAUGAGAAUCAAGUUGCGGACCACUUGUCCAGACUGAAGGGAGGUCAAACACUCAAGGAUGAGCUAGAAAUUGAUGAUGCAUUUCCAGAUGAGAAAAUCUUAGCUGCUAUAAUAGAAAGAAUACCUUGGUACACAGACUUUGCAAACUAUGUGGUGAGUGAGGUUAUUCCAGAGAACCUUUCUUUUCACCAAAGAAAGAAGUUUCUUCAUGAUGUUACACACUACUUUUGGGAUGAGCUAUAUUUGUUUCGGUGUUGUGCAGAUAAUAUUAUAAGAAGGUGUAUCCCAAAAAUGGACAUGCUGAAUAUUUUGGAAGCUUGUCAUUCUUCUCCGAUUAGUGGUCACCAUGCAGGUGACCGGACUGCCAGGAAAGUGUUGCAGAGCGGCUACUAUUGGCCGACUUUAUUCAAAGAAGUGUAUGAGUUCAUGCGGAGAUGUGACCAUUGCCAGAGACAAGGGUCAAUCUCAAAGCAUCAUGAGAUGCCUUUGUCAAAAGUAUUGGAAGUGGAGUUGUUUGACAUCUGGGGAAUCGACUUCAUGGGACCCUUUGUAAGCUAAUAUGGAAUGAAAUACAUUCUAUUUGUCGUUGAUUAUGUAUUUAAAUGAGUUGAGGCUAUUGCCUUGGCCGAUAAUGAAGGGAAGAGAGUCGUUGCGUUCCUUAAGAGAAAUAUAUUCUCUCGUUUUGCGAUGCCACGCACCAUCAUAAGUGAUAGUGGAUCACAUUUUUACAACCGAGUAUUUAGGACUGCCUUGGUAAAGUAUAGUGUUAAGCAGCAUGAGGUGGCAACUCUAUACCACCCACAGAUUAGUGGGCAAGUGGAGAUUUCAAAUAGAGAGAUUAAAGCUAUUCUUGCCAAAACGGUGAUAGCGAGCAGACAAGAUUGGUCCAAGAAGCUAAAUGAUGCUUUGUGGGCAUACAAAACAGCUUUCAAGACACCCAUUGGCAUGUCACCGUACCAAUUAGUCUAUGGAAAAGUAUGUCAUUUGCCGAUCAAAUUGGAACACAAGGCACUGUGGGUACUUAGGAAGCUAAAUUUGAAUUGGAAUGAGGCCACAAAGUUGAGAUUAGGAUAGCUGAAUGAGAUGGAUGAGUUCCAUCUCGGAGCGUAUGAAAGAGCAGACCUAUACAAUAAGAAGAUAAAGAGGUACCAUGACUGGAGGAUUGCAAAGCGAGACUUUCAGAAAGGUUAUUAGGUACUUCUCUUCAACUCUAGAUUGAAGUUGUUUCCAGGUAAAAUUAAAUCAAAAUGGUCUGGCCCAUUCAAAGUUAACCAAGUCUACUCAUCUGGAGUAGUUGAACUUGAAAAUGAGGAUGGAAGUGUCUUCAAGGUUAAUGGGCAACGAGUGAAGUUGUAUAUCGGUCCAAUAAAUUUGAUAAAGUGCAUAGCUACUAUCUAUAUCGAUGAAGUCUAGGUAAUUAAGAUAACUGAGUCGUGCCACGACAUUAAAUUAGGCGCUAGUGGGAGGCAAUCCACAUAGUGUUGCUGUAAUCAUAGUUAGAAUUUAUUGGUUGUUUUUGUGCAAUUUGAUGUGUUUGUGAAGUAUGCAGGACUUGAAUGCAGAAAGAAAAGAGUUCUACAAUUGAUAGGGGGUCGUCGGGAAGACUGAUGGACCGUCGCUAGAACCGUCAAAGCCAUAAUCAAAAAAUAGACAUUCUGGAUAAGGCUUGACGGUCGAGUUGACGGUCCGUCGCUGGUUCGACAGACCGUCACUCCCUUCGUCAACCAGAGGCUAAAAUUCGAGGUCACUGGAAUAGAUUGACUAGAAGGUCGACGGACCAUCGGGCCAACCGUCGCAGUAAAGCAGGAUUGAUGAGUUUUUGGUAAGCCAUGACGAUCAACCUGGCGAACCGUCAAACACCUGACGGACCGUCAGUUUAACCCUAGUUACGGUUCAGGUCGGGUUAAUUUUAAGGCUUAUUUAAAUUGCCUGUAUCUGGCCUAAAUAUUUUUAAAAUGAUAAGAAGAGACGGUUACAUAUGUUGGUAACUGUUCAAGUCCUAAAACUGUUUAACUUUCUCUGUACUCAAAGUAUCUGGGGUCAGUUAUUCCCUUUUAGGACUCUCCCUCUUCCUUUUCUCUUCUAUUUAAACAAUACCUUUUCCCUCUCCUUCUCACCACAACAAAAGCUAUCAAUCAUUGACAAAGGCCUUAAGUUUUCUCUAUUUUCUGAAGUUACAAGUGAGUAGAGUAAAGUUACUGUACCAUCAAGGUAUGAUCACAACCUUAUUCAUCUGCUUGGUAUUGCUAAAUUUGGAGAAAGUAAGUUUGUAGUUGUUAAAGAAAAUACUCUCUUGUUUUUGCUUUCUUUGGACUAUAAUUUCAAAGUCGAACUCUACUGUACAUUGUUCUAGGUGAAGUCUGAGUAACCCAUAUAUUGAAAGUGAGAAAAGUGGUGAUUAGCCACUAAGUUCAUGCCAAUUAUUGUGUUAAAAAAUAAUAUUUUACACUAGGUUUUCAACAAAAUGUUGAAGUGAAGUCCGAAACUGAAAAGGGC